This 407-nucleotide ribosomal RNA is filed under the name uncultured bacterium. RNAcentral describes it as "partial 16S ribosomal RNA". It matches the Rfam family "Bacterial small subunit ribosomal RNA", at positions 30 to 526 of the family's 1533-position model. The record is from RNAcentral.
AUUGAACGCUGGCGGCAGGCCUAACACAUGCAAGUCGAGCGGAGCGGCGGACGGGUGAGUAAUGCGUAGGAAUCUGCCUGGUAGUGGGGGAGAACGUCCGGAAACGGGCGCUAAUACCGCAUACUAGCAGAUGAGACUAGGUCGGAUUAGAUAGUUGGUGGGGUAAAGGCCUACCAAGGCGACGAUCCGUAACUGGUCUGAGAGGAGGAUCAGUCCCACUGGAACUGAGACACGGUCCAGACUCCUACGGGAGGCAGCAGUGGGGAAUAUUGGACAAUGGGCGAAAGCCUGAUCCAGCCAGGCCGCGUGUGUGAAGAAGGUCUUCGGAUUGUAAAGCACUGUAAGUUGGGAGGCGUUACCAACAGAAUAAGCACCGGCUAACUUCGUGCCAGCCGCCGCGGUAAUUC